Molecule: ribosomal RNA, 699 nt
Filed under: Comesa vitia
Lineage: Eukaryota; Metazoa; Nematoda; Chromadorea; Chromadorida; Neotonchidae
Description: SSU rRNA
Rfam family: Eukaryotic small subunit ribosomal RNA
Source: RNAcentral
UACAUGGAUACCUGUGGUAAUUCUAGAGCUAAUACACGCAGGUGAGGUGCAUUUAUUAGAACAAAGCCAAUUUUGGUGAAUCUGAAUAACUCACGGUCUUUGCACCGGCGACGUAUCUUUCAAGUGUCUGCCCUAUCAACUUUCGAUGGUAGUUUAUGUGCCUACCAUGGUUGUAACGGGUAACGGAGAAUAAGGGUUCGACUCCGGAGAGGGAGCCUGAGAAACGGCUACCACAUCCAAGGAAGGCAGCAGGCGCGCAAAUUACCCACUCUCAGCGAGGAGGUAGUGACGAAAAAUAACGAGACGGUUCUCUCUGUCAUCGGAAUGGGUACAAUUUAAAUCCUUUAACGAGGAUCUAUUGGAGGGCAAGUCUGGUGCCAGCAGCCGCGGUAAUUCCAGCUCCAAUAGCGUAUAUUAAAGUUGUUGCGGUUAAAAAGCUCGUAGUUGGAUCUGCUCGGAAGCCGGUCCCCUUCUAGGUGYGUCACUGGUUUCUGCAGGUCCUCUUCACUGAGUGCUGCAGUGACCAGUACGUUUACUUUGAAAAAAUUAGAGUGCUCAAAGCAGGCGCGUAGCCUGAAUAGUGGUGCAUGGAAUAAUGGAAUAGGAGGUUCUAUUUUGUUGGUUUUUGGAGCAGAGGUAAUGAUUAAGAGGGACAGACGGGGGCAUUCGUAUUGCUGCGUUAGAGGUGAAAUUCUUGGA